Molecule: ribosomal RNA, 320 nt
Filed under: uncultured eukaryote
Lineage: Eukaryota
Description: partial 18S ribosomal RNA
Rfam family: Eukaryotic small subunit ribosomal RNA
Source: RNAcentral
CCCCUAGAUGUUCUGGGCCGCACGCGCGCUACACUGAACAGUUCAACAAGUCUUAACCUUGGCCGAUAGGUCUGGGUAAUCUUUGAACGCUGUUCGUGAUUGGGAUAGACCUUUGCAAUUAUGGGUCUUCAACGAGGAAUUCCUAGUAAACGCAAGUCAUCAGCUUGCAUUGAUUACGUCCCUGCCCUUUGUACACACCGCCCGUCGCACCUACCGAUUGAAUGGUCCGGUGAAAUCUCGGGACGGCGGCUUGGUCGCUUGCGUCAGACUGCUGAAACUUGAUUAAACCAUAUCAUUUAGAGGAAGGUGAANUCGUANCA